AUUAGAGGCGCGAUUUCAAAAAGUAUUAAAAGGCCGACGCUCAAAAGUCUAUGACCUUUUUAAGAAAGGUGCAAUCGCCGAAACAAACCCUUGUUUGAGAAAGGGCGAGUUGGGUGCAAGGAAAAGAUCUUUGCAACUGUCACAAAUUUGUGGAGUGCUUUCGU
Molecule: non-coding RNA, 164 nt
Filed under: pig gut metagenome
Description: Lysine riboswitch
Rfam family: Lysine riboswitch aptamer
About the family: Riboswitches are metabolite binding domains within certain messenger RNAs that serve as precision sensors for their corresponding targets. Allosteric rearrangement of mRNA structure is mediated by ligand binding, and this results in modulation of gene expression. This family includes riboswitches that sense lysine in a number of genes involved in lysine metabolism, including lysC.
Source: RNAcentral